Molecule: ribosomal RNA, 326 nt
Filed under: uncultured bacterium
Lineage: Bacteria
Description: bacterial SSU rRNA
Rfam family: Bacterial small subunit ribosomal RNA
Source: RNAcentral
UGCGUAGGCGGCUUUUUAAGUCAGUGGUGAAAUCUUGCCGCUUAACGGUAAAUUGCCAUUGAUACUGAAGAGCUUGAGUCCAGUUGAGGUAAGCGGAAUGUGUAGUGUAGCGGUGAAAUGCUUAGAUAUUACACAGAACACCAAUUGCGAAGGCAGCUUACUAAACUGUCACUGACGCUGAUGCACGAAAGCGUGGGAGCGAACAGGAUUAGAUACCCUGGUAGUCCACGCCGUAAACGAUGCUCACUCGCUGUUUGCGAUACACAGCAAGCGGCCAAGCGAAAGCAUUAAGUGAGCCACCUGGGGAGUACGAUCGCAAGGUUGAA